Molecule: long non-coding RNA, 2882 nt
Filed under: Marmota monax (woodchuck)
Lineage: Eukaryota; Metazoa; Chordata; Mammalia; Rodentia; Sciuridae
Source: RNAcentral
CGCGGGCUGGCCUCGCUCGUCCGUCGCCGCGUUCCCGAGGUCCGGGAGCGCGCUUCGAGGCGGCGCUCGGCCCUCUGCAGGCCGGGGCCCAGCGCCUGAGGUUGCCUCGGAGCGCGGGAGGGCGUGAUCCCGGCGCCCUCCUGGCGGCUUGGGCCGCGGUCGCCCAGAGCGAGUGACCGGAACCCGCCUUCUGGCGGGGAGCCCCCGGGCCGUGCGGUGCCGGGCCUCCGCGACAGGGGCCCUGGUGCCGGGCCUCGGCCUCUGCGCAGUCGGUAGGCCUCGUGGCCCCAGGAGAAAGCUGUAGUUGUGGGCACAAAUACAGCUUGCAAGGUGAUGUGCAGCUCUCCGUUACUGUAACUGCCCCCAAGUGACCAUCUCGGGGCUUUGCUCGUGGUAAGAAAGCUCUAGGACAGUUCAGCCUCCCAGCGGAGGGUGGAGAAAUGCCCACCAGAGAGGUCGUCACGCCCAGGGAGAAGGCGCACUGUCACCUACUCAUGGAGUGAAGCAGCGUCGGCAGCCAGCAACGUUUAGAUGACAAAAUCACGAGUCAAGAUUAUUUGACAGGACUAUUUAGAACGUGCAACAAUGUUACAAUAGAAGCCUGGCGUAUAAACAUCUCUUAAUAUUGAUUUUACAAGUACAAGUGGGAGACAUAAGCCUGAACAAAAAGUCUUUAUCAGAAGGUUCUGGUAUAUAAUCCUACGUGGGAUUGAUUUUAAAAGGUAGACUCCAAUUCAGAGAACAAGCAGUCUCAUUGCUUUGUACCAGUUGGACCUCACCGGGAGUCCUGAGCUCCAGGAGAGAGAGGCCCCUGGGGAGCAUCAGGGUAACCUGUGCCAGAAUCUGGCUUGCCUUUUCUGCACCAGGGAAGCUUGGGGGCUGGGGGCUGUCAGAACAAUGCUUGUCCUCGGCCAGUAAAAGCAAAAGUGGCUCAGGAGAGUUAUGUACAAUAAAAGAAAGGUCCUUAGCUGUGCAGGUGGAGCAUUGAACAGAGCAAACAGGGAAGGAGGAAUGUUCCCAACACCAGGGAACAUCCACUUGGGGCUUCACCGAAGGCAUUUAAGGAGAAUCCCAAUCUGAAAAAAACAAGCCCCAGUGGCGGAAGAAACCAAUCCCUAGAAAUGAAGACAUCCUCAAAGACUCAAAAUCUAGAAUUAGUAGAAGUCCGGCCAGUGACUAAUGAUAAAAUACAGAAAAAGCAAUUACUUAGAUUCGCUAACAGUAGCAUUGAGCACUGACUAUGUAGUAGGCACUGAGCUGAGUGUAUGCAUUAGGGCACAUGAUAGAAUAGCCCAACCACAUUAGCCAGAAAACACCUCAAAUAUUAAAUGUAACUCCGAGUCCCAGUAAAACCUGGGAAUUGACAAAAUCAUUGACAGUGUCAUCUGGAAGAAUAAACAUUUGAGAACAGUCAAAAAGAAAAGUAAUGAAGGAAAACUCAUAGAAAACAUAUUAUCUAAACUCCAAUAUGAAAACAUGCUGACCCAGGCUGACAUCCAGCAUGCCUGUGUGCCUCUUCCAGCCUGGUCCUUGCCUGUGCAGCAGCAAUUGUUCAGUAUUUUUUAAUAUCACCCCAGUAAUGACUUAAAAUGCAAAAAGGUGAGUUCAAAUCAUAACACAAUGCGAGAGAGUAUGUGCUAAUCAUUUGAAGAGUAAAGAAUAACACUGAAUUUGUACCUUAUCAAAUUAAAUGAAGUUUUAAAUGUUAAAUGUACUAAGGAAAAACUUAGUGGAUGUUUCUAUAAGAGUUAUGGAAUAGAGAAUGCCAUCAACAAUCAUAAAUGGAAAUAUUGAUAAUAUGACCAUGAAUUAAAAUGUUGGGUACAAUCAACAGGAAAUUGGAUAAUUCCUAAUUGUGGAAUAUAAGGGAAUACUAUUUAGCAAUAAAAAAGAAUGAACUAUGACCAGUGGAUGAAUGUCAGCAUCAUAAUGACGUUGGCUGAAAGAGACAUUUUAUGACCAUUAGCAUGAAACUCGAGCCAGCCAACUACCUGUGCAGGGCAGAGAUCAGAAGGGGUUCUUCCUUGGGAUGGAUGAGCAGAGGGUUGACUGGGGCACCAAGAACUUCCUGGAGGGAAGGGAAUGAUGCACAUCUGGACUGGAGUAUAGGUCACACAGAUGAACACCUGUCUGAUCUCCUUGACUCUUAACAGUUGUGCCUGUGCAGGGAGAUUUUGCCAAGAGAAAGCAAUAGUGACCCAGUUUGAAGAGGAAGGAGGAACUGUUUGUGCAUCAGAACACGGAUAAAAUUAAAAGUGGGAAAGUGUGUGCCUGUUUCAUAAAGCUAAUCUCCUUUACAGGAAAGAGAGCUUUCAAUGCUGAGACAAAAACGUGCAUUCCAAAAGCAAGACGGAGACAAGGACUGAGAAAACACAACACCCAAUAAACAUGACAGAAUGUUCUCUUCCCUAAUAACAGGAGAAACGCAAGGCUUUCUCUGUUUGAUAAAAGCAAAUGUGAAGAAAUAAGCAUCAUUGCACAUGAACUGAGUGUCAACUGAGAGGAACUUCUGGAUGGUUACUUAACUACAAGCACAAAUAAAACCUUAAAAUUUUGUGUAUUCUUUCACAUAGUGAUUCCACUUCCAUAACUUGAUCCUAAUAAAUAUGGAUGUUGAUAAACAUUAAGCUUAAUGUUUCACAGAAAAAAAGGCAGGGGGUUGGAAUGAACAUACAACUACGGGAUUUUCUAUCUUGGAAAAAAGUUAAGUUUACAGUUGUAAGGAAACAGGAAGACUACAAAACAUCAUGCAAUAUAAUUUUUAUAAAUAAAAACAAAAAAAAAGAUGAGAAAAAGUAAUCAAAAUGUUCCCAGUGGUUUCUUCUGAAAAUGACGAAAGAUCGCUGUUUCCUAUUUGUUCAUCUGGUAUUAGUUUGUAGCCA